GGUUAAAAAGCUCGUAGUUGGAUUUCUGUUGAGGACGGCCGGUCCGCACUAUGUGCGUGUAUCUGGUUCGGCCUCGGCAUCCUCUUGAGGAACGUUUCUGCGCUUGAUUGCGUGGAGCGGUAUUCAAGACUUUUACUUUGAGGAAAUUAGAGUGUUCACGGCAGGCAAGCGCCUUGAAUAUGUUAGCAUGGAAUAAUAAUAUAGGAUCUUGGUUCUAUUUGUUGGUUUCUAGGGCUAAGGUAAUGAUUAAUAGGGAUAAUUGGGGGCAUUUGUAUUAACGCGUCAGAGGUGGAAUUCUUGGAUUGCGUUACGACAAACUACUGCGAAAGCAUUUGCCAAGGAUGUUUUCAUUGAUCAAGAACGAAAGUAUGGGGAUCGAAGAUGAUUAGAUACCGUCGUAGUCUAUACCAUAAACUAUGCCGACUAGGGAUUGGAGGUCGUUCUUUUUAUGACUCCUUCAGCACCUUAUGAGAAAUCAAAGUCUUUGGGUUCCGGGGGGAGUAUGGUCGCAAGGCUGAAACUUAAAGGAAUUGACGGAAGGGCACCACCAGGCGUGGAGCCUGCGGCUUAAUUUGACUCAACACGGGGGAAACU
Molecule: ribosomal RNA, 594 nt
Filed under: uncultured marine eukaryote
Lineage: Eukaryota
Description: SSU rRNA
Rfam family: Eukaryotic small subunit ribosomal RNA
Source: RNAcentral